Molecule: small nuclear RNA, 101 nt
Filed under: Chlorocebus sabaeus (green monkey)
Lineage: Eukaryota; Metazoa; Chordata; Mammalia; Primates; Cercopithecidae
Source: RNAcentral
GCUUUGGCAAAACAUAUACUAAAACUGGAAUAACACAAAGAAGAUUAGCAUGGCUCCUGCGCAAGGAUGAGUCUGUUAAAAAAAAUCCUUAACCUUUUGAU